CCUACGGGAGGCAGCAGUGAGGAAUAUUGGUCAAUGGGCGAGAGCCUGAACCAGCCAAGUCGCGUGAGCGAUGACGGUCCUAUUAAUUGUAAACCUCUUUUGUCGGGGAACAAAGGCGUCCUCGUGUGGACUGAUGAGUGUGCCCGAAGAAAAAGCAUCGCCUAACUCCGUGCCAGCAGCCGCGGUAAUACGGGGGAUGCGAGCGUUAUCCGGAUUUAUUGGGUUUAACGGGUACUUAGUCGGACAAACAAGUCAGCGGUAAAAAUGCGGUGCUCAACGCCGUACAGCCGUAGAAACUGGAAGUAGUGAGUGGGCGAGAAGUAUGCGGAAUGCGUGGUGUAGCGGUGAAAUGCAUAGAUAUCAUGCAGAACUCCGAUUGCGAAGGCAGCAUACCGGCGCCCUACUGACGCUGAGGCACGAAAGCGUGGGUAUCGAACAGGAUUAGAUACCCUUGUAGUC
This 459-nucleotide ribosomal RNA is filed under the name uncultured bacterium. Its description in RNAcentral is "partial 16S ribosomal RNA". It matches the Rfam family "Bacterial small subunit ribosomal RNA", at positions 338 to 795 of the family's 1533-position model. The record is from RNAcentral.